RNAcentral lists this non-coding RNA (175 nucleotides) under Bacteriovorax sp. MedPE-SWde. RNAcentral describes it as "6S RNA". It matches the Rfam family "6S / SsrS RNA". Rfam says of the family: E. coli 6S RNA was the first non coding RNA to be sequenced, but its function was unknown until recently. The record is from RNAcentral. Lineage: Bacteria; Pseudomonadati; Bdellovibrionota; Bacteriovoracia; Bacteriovoracales; Bacteriovoracaceae.
UGAGUCUUGUAGUUGGCAAAACAAAGUUCUUUGCCCUACAUUUUUUAGAAAGGAAGCGGUCCCUGGUCAUGGUGAGCAAGCUCAUGAAUUAGUGAGAAGCCUAAAGUGAUUAUCUACUACAUCCACCUGUCGUAUGACGGGCGGAGACUUUCAAACUGCUGGCUAUGAGACUCCU